This 468-nucleotide ribosomal RNA is filed under the name uncultured bacterium. RNAcentral's name for it is "partial 16S ribosomal RNA". It matches the Rfam family "Bacterial small subunit ribosomal RNA", at positions 28 to 507 of the family's 1533-position model. The record is from RNAcentral.
GACGAUCGCUGGCGGCGUGCUUAACACAUGCAAGUCGAACGGAAAGGCCCUGCUUUUGUGGGGUGCUCGAGUGGCGAACGGGUGAGUAACACGUGAGUAACCUGCCCUUGACUUUGGGAUAACUUCAGGAAACUGGGGCUAAUACCGGAUAGGAGCUCCUGCUGCAUGGUGGGGGUUGGAAAGUUUCGGCGGUUGGGGAUGGACUCGCGGCUUAUCAGCUUGUUGGUGGGGUAGUGGCUUACCAAGGCUUUGACGGGUAGCCGGCCUGAGAGGGUGACCGGCCACAUUGGGACUGAGAUACGGCCCAGACUCCUACGGGAGGCAGCAGUGGGGAAUAUUGCACAAUGGGCGGAAGCCUGAUGCAGCAACGCCGCGUGCGGGAUGACGGCCUUCGGGUUGUAACCCGCUUUCGCCUGUGACGAAGCGUGAGUGACGGUAAUGGGUAAAGAAGCACCGGCUAACUACGUG